Molecule: non-coding RNA, 113 nt
Organism: Acanthosepion pharaonis
Lineage: Eukaryota; Metazoa; Mollusca; Cephalopoda; Sepiida; Sepiidae
Source: the annotation of a GenBank genome assembly
UAUGGCCAUAUCACAUUGAAACACCAGUUUUUGUAUGAUCACUGAAAUUAAGCAAUGUUGAACCUGGUCAGUACCUACAUGGGUGAUUGCUUGGGAAUACCAGGUGCUGUAAG